Molecule: ribosomal RNA, 2784 nt
Filed under: Lactobacillus acidophilus
Lineage: Bacteria; Bacillati; Bacillota; Bacilli; Lactobacillales; Lactobacillaceae
Description: partial 23S ribosomal RNA
Rfam family: Bacterial large subunit ribosomal RNA
Source: RNAcentral
UAAGGUCAAGUAGAAAAGGGCGCACGGUGAAUGCCUAGGCACUAACAGCCGAUGAAGGACGUGACGAACUACGAAAAGCUUCGGGGAGCGGUAAGUACGCAGUGAUCCGGAGAUGUCCGAAUGGGGGAACCCAAUGCAGCGAUGCAUUAUUGGUUGAUGAAUAGAUAGUCAAUCAAAGGAAGACGCAGUGAACUGAAACAUCUAAGUAGCUGCAGGAAGAGAAAGAAAAAUCGAUUUCCUUAGUAGCGGCGAGCGAAGAGGAAAGAGCCCAAACCAAGUGAUUUAUCAUUUGGGGUUGUAGGACUGCAAAGUGGUAGCGUAAGCGAUAGUUGAAUUAUCUGGGAAGGUAAGCCAGAGAGGGUGAGAGCCCCGUAAGCGAAAUUGCGAGCGCGCCUAGCAGAAUCCUGAGUAGGCCGGGACACGAGGAAUCCCGGUUGAAGCCGCGAGGACCAUCUCGCAAGGCUAAAUACUAGUUAGUGACCGAUAGUGAACCAGUACCGUGAGGGAAAGGUGAAAAGAACCCCGGAAGGGGAGUGAAAGAGAACCUGAAACCGUGUGUCUACAAGUAGUCAAAGCACAUUAAAGUGCGAUGGCGUGCCUUUUGUAGAAUGAACCGGCGAGUUACGUUAUCUAGCGAGGUUAAGUCAGAAAAGACGGAGCCGGAGCGAAAGCGAGUCUGAAUAGGGCGAAGAGUUAGGUGACGUAGACCCGAAACCAAGUGACCUACCCAUGGCCAGGCUGAAGGUGUGGUAAAACGCACUGGAGGGCCGAACCCACGUAAGUUAAAAAUUGCGGGGAUGAGCUGUGGGUAGCGGUGAAAUUCCAAACGAACUUGGAGAUAGCUGGUUCUCUCCGAAAUAGCUUUAGGGCUAGCCUCGUGGAGAGGAUAAUGGAGGUAGAGCUCUGUUUGGACUAGGGGCCCGUCAGGGGUUACUGAAUCCAGAUAAACUGCGAAUUCCAUAUAUCCAUACACGGGAGUCAGACUGCGAGUGAUAAGAUCCGUAGUCGAAAGGGAAACAGCCCAGAUCACCAGUUAAGGUCCCCAAAUCUAUGCUAAGUGGAAAAGGAUGUGGAGUUGCGUAGACAACUAGGACGUUGGCUCAGAAGCAGCCAUCAUUCAAAGAGUGCGUAAUAGCUCACUAGUCGAGUGGCGCUGCGCCGAAAAUUUACCGGGGCUAAGCAUAGUACCGAAACUGUGGAUGCAUCGAAAGAUGCGUGGUAGGAGAGCGUUCUAAGUGCGGCGAAGGUUAACCGAGAGGAUAAUUGGAGCGCUUAGAAGUGAGAAUGCCGGUAUGAGUAGCGAAAGACAGGUGAGAAUCCUGUCCGCCGAAAGACUAAGGUUUCCUGGGGCAGGCUCGUCCGCCCAGGGUAAGUCGGGACCUAAGGCAAGGCCGAGAGGCGUAGUCGAUGGAUAACAGGUAGAAAUUCCUGUACUGUGUUUAAUCGUUAUGAGCGAUGGAGGGACGCAGGAGGUGAAACACGCAUCGAGCUGGAUCGAUGUUCAAGCAACAAGUGCGGUUAAGAGUCAAAUGCUUCUAACCAGCAACACGAGUUGUGAUGAGUAGCGAAGUAAUAGUAGCGAAGGUGAUGUAAUCACACUGCCAAGAAAAGCUUCUAGCCAGAGAGGACACACCCGUACCGCAAACCGACACAGGUAGUCGAGUGGAGAACACUAAGGUGAGCGAGAGAACUCUCGUUAAGGAACUCGGCAAAAUGACCCCGUAACUUCGGAAGAAGGGGUGCUGGCCACGAGAGUGGUUAGCCGCAGUGAAUAGGCCCAAACAACUGUUUAUCAAAAACACAGGUCUCUGCAAAAUCGUAAGAUGACGUAUAGAGGCUGACACCUGCCCGGUGCUGGAAGGUUAAGAGGAGAGCUUAGCGAAAGCGAAGGUUCGAAUUGAAGCCCCAGUAAACGGCGGCCGUAACUAUAACGGUCCUAAGGUAGCGAAAUUCCUUGUCGGGUAAGUUCCGACCUGCACGAAAGGUGUAAUGAUUUGGGCACUGUCUCAACGAGAGACUCGGUGAAAUUAUAAUACCCGUGAAGAUGCGGGUUACCCGCGACAGGACGGAAAGACCCCAUGGAGCUUCACUGUAGCUUGAUAUUGAGUAUCUUUUAAACAUGUACAGGAUAGGUAGGAGCCAAGGAAGGCAGGACGCUAGUUUUGCUGGAGGCAAUGUUGGGAUACUACCCUUGUUUGAAGGAUGCUCUAACCUCGACCUGUAAGCCAGGUCAGGGACAGUGUCAGGUGGGCAGUUUGACUGGGGCGGUCGCCUCCUAAAGUGUAACGGAGGCGCUCAAAGGUUCCCUCAGAAUGGUUGGAAAUCAUUCGCAGAGUGUAAAGGUAUAAGGGAGCUUGACUGCGAGAGAAACAGCUCGAGCAGGGACGAAAGUCGGACUUAGUGAUCUGGUGGUACCGUAUGGAAGGGCCAUCACUCAACGGAUAAAAGCUACCCUGGGGAUAACAGGCUUAUCUCCCCCAAGAGUUCACAUCGACGGGGAGGUUUGGCACCUCGAUGUCGGCUCGUCGCAUCCUGGGGCUGAAGUCGGUCCCAAGGGUUGGGCUGUUCGCCCAUUAAAGCGGCACGCGAGCUGGGUUCAGAACGUCGUGAGACAGUUCGGUCCCUAUCCGUCGUGGGCGUAGGAAAUUUGAGAGGAGCUGUCCUUAGUACGAGAGGACCGGGAUGGACGCACCGCUGGUGUACCAGUUGUUCCGCCAGGAGCAUCGCUGGGUAGCUAUGUGCGGAAGGGAUAAGCGCUGAAAGCAUCUAAGUGCGAAGCCCCCC